This 1329-nucleotide long non-coding RNA is filed under the name Monodelphis domestica (gray short-tailed opossum). RNAcentral's name for it is "lncRNA (ENSMODG00000045067.1)". The record is from RNAcentral. Lineage: Eukaryota; Metazoa; Chordata; Mammalia; Didelphimorphia; Didelphidae.
UCCAUGUUCUAAGUCACCAGGAGUACCAGACAUCGGAACCCCUCUGGAAAGGACAAUGAGCCCAAGGUGGUUUGGGUUCUAGAAUGGUUUAGCCACAUGUAGUCUAGAUCUCUCUCUAGGAAAGCUAGCGUUUGGCAUAGAGCCCUCUCAUGAUGUUGGGGGAUGCUGGAGGUCCAGUCCUGCAGAUGGAGGCAACUGUUGAAGCCCUUUUGCCAGCGUUGAGUUGUAAAUUGUGUAAAGUCAUCCUUUGUUUCGACGUUGUCGCUUUCUUUUUAACGCACAAAAUGUCCUGUCCCCUGGCUGCAGCCGGCACGUUGUCGUGUCACUGAGCUCCAUUCAGGUUUAGAGAAGGCACGUGAAGAUGUAAGAGGCCUUUUUGCAUUUUCAUAUGUGCAAUUUGUAAAUAACUGUAUUUGUGGACACAUAGAAACAUGAAACCAUUUUCAUUAAAACGAUUUCUCCGUCUGUGUUACUCUUCCUGGGAGCUGGGAGGGGGCGCCCAGACCGGGGCACGACGACGAUGCUCGCUACCUUCUUCCCCCGGAGUCCACUGCUAAAGGUGCUCACCAGACUCUCCCCAGCCCUCACAGCCCACCUCCCAGCUCGCAGGGCGCACAGGAAAGGAGCAGUAUGGGCAGAGGGAGCACCCCAGCCCUCUCUUCCAGCCCCAUGAGCCUCCAGGGCUGAGAGCCCCCAGACACCGAGUGCCACUUGGGGGGUGGUUGGGGCUGGGUUCUAAACGGGGACGUCUUGCUCCGUUGCACCCCAGCCCUCCCUAAGCAAUGGCUCUCCAGUGUGGAGGACCCCUGCCCCACAUCCUGCCCCCGAAUGCCUGCCACCUGCUUCUCCGUGCCCAUUGCAUCCAAAUGGCCUCGUCUUAGCUCUGUACCUACAAGGCAGGAGGGGUCGUAACACUAAGGGCCGACAUUAGCAAAGUCUUUCUAAGAUACUUAAACUAACAUCCAAGCCUCUCAGCACUUGAGGGGAGUGCUACGGCCACCAGGUUCUCAUCCUAGAAGUUCAGAGACAGGCUGGGAGUCCAUAGGGACUCCCUCAGCUAGAGGGUCAGAAGCAGGAUUUGAACCAAGGUCCUCCACACUCCAAGUCCUAUUUCUUUUCCACAACUCCCUUCUCCCCAUUUUACAGAUGAGGAAAAUAAUCCUGAGAGGUGUUAAAUGAAUUACCCACGUUCACCCAGCCUGUAAGUUUCUGCAGCAGGAUUUGAACCUUGGUCCCUAUGACUCCAGUCAAAUCUAACUCCACUCUCCAAAGCUGCCCUGAAGCCAUCACCCGCAGCUGACCUGCUUGGGAUCUCUCUGGAAAUCCUUG